Molecule: ribosomal RNA, 468 nt
Filed under: uncultured bacterium
Lineage: Bacteria
Description: partial 16S ribosomal RNA
Rfam family: Bacterial small subunit ribosomal RNA
Source: RNAcentral
GACGAACGCUGGCGGCGUGCUUAACACAUGCAAGUCGAACGGAAAGGCCCUGCUUUUGUGGGGUGCUCGCGUGGCGAACGGGUGAGUAACACGUGAGUAACCUGCCCUUGACUUUGGGAUAACUUCAGGAAACUGGGGCUAAUACCGGAUAGGAGCUCCUGCUGCAUGGUGGGGGUUGGAAAGUUUCGGCGGUUGGGGAUGGACUCGCGGCUUAUCAGCUUGUUGGUGGGGUAGUGGCUUACCAAGGCUUUGACGGGUAGCCGGCCUGGGAGGGUGACCGGGCACAUUGGGACUGAGAGACGGACCAGACUCCUACGGUAGGCAGCAGUGGGGAAUAUUGCACAAUGGGCGGAAGCCUGAUGCAGCAACGCCGCGUGCGGGAUGACGGCCUUCGGGUUGUAAACCGCUUUCGCCUGUGACGAAGCGUGAGUGACGGUAAUGGGUAAAGAAGCACCGGCUAACUACGUG